AAUUCGAUUAGAGUUUGAUCCUGGCUCAGAUUCGACAUCUGCUAGAGACGGCAUGCCUUACACAUGCAAGUCGAACGGCAGCACGGGAGCUUGCUCCUGGUGGCGAGUGGCGAACGGGUGAGUAAUACAUCGGAACGUACCCAGGAGUGGGGGAUAACGUAGCGAAAGUUACGCUAAUACCGCAUAUUCUGUGAGCAGGAAAGCGGGGGAUCGCAAGACCUCGCGCUCUUGGAGCGGCCGAUGUCGGAUUAGCUAGUUGGUGAGGUAAAAGCUCACCAAGGCGACGAUCCGUAGCAGGUCUGAGAGGAUGAUCUGCCACACUGGGACUGAGACACGGCCCAGACUCUUACGGGAGGCAGCAGUGGGGAAUUUUGGACAAUGGGGGCAACCCUGAUCCAGCCAUGCCGCGUGAGUGAAGAAGGCCUUCGGGUUGUAAAGCUCUUUCGGCGGGGAAGAAAUGGCAACGGCUAAUAUCCGUUGUUGAUGACGGUACCCGCAUAAGAAGCACCGGCUAACUACGUGCCAGCAGCCGCGGUAAUACUUAGGGUGUGAGCGUUAAUCGGAAUUACUGGGCGUAAAGCGUGCGCAGGCGGUUUCGUAAGACAGACGUGAAAUCCCCGGGCUCAACCUGGGAACUGUGUUUGUGACUGCGAGGCUUCAGUCCGGUUAAGUCGGUUAGCAUUCCCCGUGUAUCUAGUGAAAUGCGUAUAGAUUUUUAAA
This 720-nucleotide ribosomal RNA is filed under the name uncultured bacterium. RNAcentral's name for it is "bacterial SSU rRNA". It matches the Rfam family "Bacterial small subunit ribosomal RNA", at positions 1 to 704 of the family's 1533-position model. The record is from RNAcentral.